Pelobates cultripes (western spadefoot toad) is the source of this 323-nucleotide non-coding RNA. The record is from the annotation of a GenBank genome assembly. NCBI's taxonomy places the organism in Eukaryota, Metazoa, Chordata, Amphibia, Anura, Pelobatidae.
AUAAGACCAAUUGUUACGUGUGUGGAGGAGCCAGGCCCCAUCUGGGCACAGUUCCUCUGAAUUUGCCUCCUGAAGUAGAAUCAUGUGUUCUGAGCCUUUACACACAGUCCGUCACCAAUACAAUAUCUAAAAACACCGGUUUGUAUCUGGGCAAAUUCCCAUCAGGAUAUUGCUCAACUUACCAUAAUCCACCCGUAUCACUGCUAAUGAACCACACAAAGACAAUCGGUGAUAUCUAUUGGUUAUGUGGGGAUAAACAAUUGAGGUCCCAAUUAACUGGGCAAUGGUGGGGGGAGUGUGCCCUAACUAAAGUCAUAAUGCCU